Long non-coding RNA from Seriola dumerili (greater amberjack), 356 nucleotides. RefSeq lists it as uncharacterized. The transcript is spliced from 6 exons. The record is from RefSeq and is a predicted model, not a curated record. Lineage: Eukaryota; Metazoa; Chordata; Actinopteri; Carangiformes; Carangidae.
CUGCAAGAUUGAAGGUGUUUGCUCUGAACCUGAGAGGAAGAAUUACGGUCGUUUUUCCUGGAAUCUGGCGCCAUUGUGACCAGAACAACGAAAGUAUAUCCACCACUAACAGGUGUAAAUGCCUCCCAAAAUGCCUCCCAAAAAGCAUAAAGGGCAAAAGGGCAUCAUGUCCUUUUUUACGAAGAAAAGUGACGAUCCUGGCAGCAGCAGUACAGAGAAAACACAGCUAGGUGGAGCUACAGCCUCUCAGUGUCAGCGAAAGUAGACUACAUAAUGCCACAGGCUUUCAAUGGAAAGUGAAGGAAGAGAAUGGCUUUGACGGCGAACAUUCACAUCAUUUCACAGUGAAAUUCAGU